AUGGAUCCUAACCCACAUGUGUUGUGUUGGAACGUGAGGGGCCUUAACAACCCUGCCAAGAAGCAUGCAGUUAGGGAGUUUGUAGUGGCGGCCAAGGUUAGUCUUGUGUGUCUCCAAGAGACGAAACUAGAUGUAUUCAAUCCUUUCAUCAUUAUGCAAUGCAUUGGCCCAUCGUUCGAUGGGUUUGACUAUGUGCCGGCUGAGGAGACUCGUGGGGGCAUCCUACUUGCUUGGGAUAGCACGGUGCUAUCCGUGCAUAACAUCAUGCGUGACACCAACUCUAUCACAGGGCUCGUUCAUGACAAGGGAGGAUCGACUUGGUGGGUCAGGCGGUGUACGGGCCGCAAGGAGAGGGCCCCAAAACUCAAUUUCUAUGCGAUCUUCAUGCUUUGCGCGCGGCCUGCCCUGGGCCGUGGAUGGUUUUGGGAGACUUCAAUAUGA
This 441-nucleotide ribosomal RNA is filed under the name Triticum aestivum (bread wheat). Its description in RNAcentral is "partial small subunit ribosomal RNA". The record is from RNAcentral. Lineage: Eukaryota; Viridiplantae; Streptophyta; Magnoliopsida; Poales; Poaceae.